AACGAACGCUGGCGGCAGGCUUAACACAUGCAAGUCGAACGCUCGUAGCAAUACGGGAGUGGCAGACGGGUGAGUAACACGUGGGAACGUACCUUCAGGUCUGGAAUAACCCUGGGAAACUAGGGCUAAUACCGGAUAUCCGAGAGAUCGGAAAGGCUUGCUGCCUGAAGAUCGGCCCGCGUCCGAUUAGCUUGUUGGUGGGGUAAUGGCCUACCAAGGCUUCGAUCGGUAGCUGGUCUGAGAGGAUGACCAGCCACAUUGGGACUGAGACACGGCCCAAACUCCUACGGGAGGCAGCAGUGGGGAAUAUUGGACAAUGGGCGCAAGCCUGAUCCAGCCAUGCCGCGUGAGUGAUGACGGCCUUAGGGUUGUAAAGCUCUUUUACCUGGGAAGAUCAUGACGGUACCAGGAGAAUAAGCCCCGGCUAACUUCGUGCCAGCAGCCGCCGUAACAC
This 454-nucleotide ribosomal RNA is filed under the name uncultured bacterium. Its description in RNAcentral is "bacterial SSU rRNA". It matches the Rfam family "Bacterial small subunit ribosomal RNA", at positions 29 to 526 of the family's 1533-position model. The record is from RNAcentral.